UUCUUCCAUAAUAAAGUCUACCAUUCCUAUGUUUUGUUGUGCCAUUUUAUCACGUGAAAAAUAGCAGUUUAUAAUCACGCGGGAUCAAAAGAAAGUGACAGGCAGGGAGAGGGGCAGAAAAUAGACACUUUCCUUAAAAAGUCCAUUGCAUUUCUUAAACGAGCUUAUCGAUUGGGACAAUUCUCGUUAUUUUGAUUUCAAAUUAUGCACCAGGCAUUUAUUUGGCGUCGUUGAAGUGGUGUGGUAGACGACGCGGAACCAAAAUAAAUAAUGAAAGAUGAACGGAGUAAAGAAAACAGUAUGGCGGCGGGGCGCUAGUGACUGCCAAGAUGGGAACCUUUUUACGCAAAUUAUACGCGAUUUUCAGUCUCCUGGAGUGCGUUAAUCACCUGGUCAGCAGCGUAAAUGGCCAGAGUCAUGUGGCAAGCCUGUCAGUAAGCGAGGACACUAAUAAGAAGACUAACAAUGUGUGUGGCCUUGGACAGUGGUUGUGACGAGAGGUUUGCUGAUUUCGAAGUGACAGUCUAACAAGAAUUCUACACCACCAGUAAGAUAAACGCUCGUAAGAACACGAAUAGAUAUCAAUGUGACUUUUGAAAAACAACUGCGAUAAAAGAGAUAAGUGAAAUAUCCGGUUCCUUAUCUGUGAUCUAAGCAGCUGUGGUGGGAGUCAGCGCGGUUUUCAAGAACGUUUUAAUGACUAGUGGUAGCUUGUUAAAGGUUCUGAAUCGAUAAGGAGGCAGACACGCAUGAAAACCUGACUGACGAUUUCUCCCUAGCAUUAGAAAAGUAUUAACUGUGAGAGGACAACACUCAACAGCUGUAGUGGAAGUUACUGGGGGUUUUCAAAUGUUUUCUGCUUGACUAGUAAUUAAAACACUCAUGAGAUCAAGAA
This is a long non-coding RNA of Scylla paramamosain (green mud crab), 895 nucleotides long. RefSeq lists it as uncharacterized. The record is from RefSeq and is a predicted model, not a curated record. NCBI's taxonomy places the organism in Eukaryota, Metazoa, Arthropoda, Malacostraca, Decapoda, Portunidae. The transcript is spliced from 2 exons.